AAUGAAGUGCCUGAGUAAAGGAUUAUUUUGAUAGAAUAAACCACGUAAAUUUAAUUUACCUUCAUUA
This 67-nucleotide transfer RNA is filed under the name Melanophila acuminata. Its description in RNAcentral is "tRNA-Ile". Lineage: Eukaryota; Metazoa; Arthropoda; Insecta; Coleoptera; Buprestidae. The record is from RNAcentral.